GACGAACGCUGGCGGCGUGCUUAACACAUGCAAGUCGAACGGAAAGGCCCUGCUUUUGUGGGGUGCUCGAGUGGCGAACGGGUGAGUAACACGUGAGUAACCUGCCCUUGACUUUGGGAUAACUUCAGGAAACUGGGGCUAAUACCGGAUAUGAGCUCCUGCUGCAUGGUGGGGGUUGGAAAGUUUCGGCGGUUGGGGAUGGACUCGCGGGUUACCAGCUUGUUGGUGGGGUAGUGGCUUACCAAGGCUUUGACGGGUAGCCGGCCUGGGAGGGUGGCCGGCCACAUUGGGACUGCGGUACGGCCCAGAAUCCUACGGGAGGCAGCAGGGGGGAAUAUUGCACAAUGGGCGGAAGCCUGAUGUGGCAACGCCGCGUGCGGGAUGACGGCCUUCGGGUUGUAAACCGCUUUCGCCUGUGACGAAGCGUGAGUGACGGUAAUGGGUAAAGAAGCACCGGCUAACUACGUG
This 468-nucleotide ribosomal RNA is filed under the name uncultured bacterium. RNAcentral's name for it is "partial 16S ribosomal RNA". It matches the Rfam family "Bacterial small subunit ribosomal RNA", at positions 28 to 507 of the family's 1533-position model. The record is from RNAcentral.